AAAAAUUUAGUUAAUUCAUAACGUUAGCUUGUCAAGCUAAAAUUAUUUCCAAAAUAAUAAUUUUUA
This 66-nucleotide transfer RNA is filed under the name Trigonopterus puspoi. RNAcentral's name for it is "tRNA-Asp". The record is from RNAcentral. Lineage: Eukaryota; Metazoa; Arthropoda; Insecta; Coleoptera; Curculionidae.